Long non-coding RNA from Cyprinus carpio carpio, 1074 nucleotides. NCBI's taxonomy places the organism in Eukaryota, Metazoa, Chordata, Actinopteri, Cypriniformes, Cyprinidae. The record is from Ensembl.
AUAUAUAUAUAUAUAUAUAUAUAUAUAUAUAUAUAUAUAGUGUCUCAAGAUGCAUAUCAGUAGUGUUUUUAUCCAAGGAAUGCUUAUAAAAGCUACUUAAAUGUCCUAAUUGAACUACGGCCUAAUCCUGGCUUAAUCUAAACCUUAUCUGUGACCUACAUAAUAUAGCAUAUUUGUGAUUUUGCUGUAAAAAUAUGUUUUGCAAUGCAUAAAUAAAAGGGGAGCUCCAUUAAGUACACAUACAUCUCAAAAGUGGAUUUACAUAAACCGUAUAUACAUCUUAAAGACGAUUACUAAAAGUCUAUGUAACAUCUGACAGGAUAAUCUUUGAUAAGUAUUGCAGAUGAGCACAUCUAAUAGACAUGAGACUGAGUGAGUGAUGUACAGUAUGUGUGCUAUUAUGUAGAAUUUACUGUUGUCAACACUGCUUUAGAUGAAUGUAAGUAAUGUAAAUAAUCAAAUCUCCAUAAAGUAAGUAAACAUAAGUUAGAUACUUUAUUUGUCCAUUUGUAAUAUUGAUAAUUUAAGGAACAUUUGUGUUGGAUAAAAAGUGAGUUACAUCAGCAACUAACUCAACAUGUAAAUACAGUAUUGAGCAAAUAAAUCACAGAGGUCACUGACUCUUGUCUGGAUGUUACAGGAACAGAUGAGACACACAUGUGUUUAUCCGGUGCAGAGUGACUGAUGAAGGAAUGCUGCCAUCAAAGGCUUUCAAUCUUUUGUGUUGGAGCAGGACUUGCAAGGCAAAGUGACGGCGGCAUUUGUGGAAAAAAGAGAAACCUGAAACUAAAGGAUGAAGUAGUGGUGCUUGUGUAGAGCAGGCACACAAAUGUUUGAAGCAGACACAGUGGUAGCCAGAUUGUCCCGCACAUGUUCCCCUGCUCUUGCUUCAAGAUUGUGUGGUUCAGAGAGCUGUCAUCAUGGUCUUCCUCAUCCUCCUGCUCAACAAUGUCCCCACUGAGAAGAGUGAGAUUGUGAAGCACAGUUGUGUUAAGAUGGCAGUAGGAUGUGGGGUUCACCAUCUGUAAAUACAUGAUUGUUAGAACAAUAAAUUUGAAUGAAGCUUUGUUUCAU